RNAcentral lists this ribosomal RNA (253 nucleotides) under uncultured bacterium. RNAcentral describes it as "partial 16S ribosomal RNA". It matches the Rfam family "Bacterial small subunit ribosomal RNA", at positions 524 to 776 of the family's 1533-position model. The record is from RNAcentral.
UACAGGGGGGGCAAGCGUUGUUCGGAAUUACUGGGCGUAAAGGGCUCGUAGGUGGCCAACUAAGUCAGACGUGAAAUCCCUCAGCUUAACUGGGGAACUGCGUCUGAUACUGGAUGGCUUGAGUUUGGGAGAGGGAUGCGGAAUUCCCGGUGUAGAGGUGAAAUUCGUAGAUAUUGGGAAGAACACCGGUGGCGAAGGCGGCCAUCUGGACCGGCACUGACGCUGAGGCGCGAAAGCGUGGGGAGCAAACAGG